Molecule: long non-coding RNA, 1431 nt
Filed under: Triticum aestivum (bread wheat)
Lineage: Eukaryota; Viridiplantae; Streptophyta; Magnoliopsida; Poales; Poaceae
Description: long non-coding RNA (TAES_LNC004780)
Source: RNAcentral
ACAUGAACACGUUAUAUUUGAUUUAAGUUUCCGAAUCAAACAUCAUUUCACGCGGACAACAAAGUAUAUGAAGAAGUAGAACUUAGGCAUUAAGUGAUGUAGAACACUUAACAUAGUCAUUAGCUGUCUCAUGGACCAGCAAAUACAAAACAAAGUGCAUUUUACGACUGACAACAAAUAGUCUCAUACCGAAUUACAGACACUAACACUGACAGACCACAACACACACAGUGUGUGAGGGCUUUUAGGUACACAUGGCAUCAUAGACAUACAGCAACUUUCAGUCGCAAACAUUUUUAUAGUGAAGAAAGAUGGAUAGUCUUCAUGAGAAUGUUGCUUAGACGCCGUUGAUCUUCGUAAUGUUGGAAUCCAUGGUCAUGAGCAGGUAUCCAAGCACCUUCCUAUGUUCGAGCAAUCCUUCCUGGAACAGUUUGAUUGAAAAAUAGUUGAGUUUUCCAACAAUAUUGUAUAUGCAUUUGAUGAAGAAUAAACAUUUCAUAGGACACCGAAAAAUGCAGCAGCGCAAACAAUCUGAUACCUGGUCCAGCACAGGUUUGGCUUGGUUGUUCGUCAUGUUCCUCGCGGCAUAUGCAACAUAUAUCGCAUCAUUUGGGCUUUUUUAAAAAGAAAAAUGAUGAAUUAUUUCAGCAACCUGCAGAUAUUUCUUACAAAUGAUAAUUAAGACUCAAUGUUUGUUAGAGCUAACCUCGCUCCUGGACCCCCAGUGUGUUUGAUGAUGUUAAAGCCCAGUGCACUAGGAAUAGUUGCACCUAGCACAAUAGACAUGCAGUGACCCAGUGCCAGAAAAAGAUCAUAAGCUUUACGAUGGUGGUUGGCCACAGCUAUGGCGGGAAAAUCACCAUUGACCACAGGGUCGUACACAUGCACUGUUGUAUGUGUUCCCUUAAUAUUGUAAGCGUAGCAGACCCAAUUGACUUUGUCACCUAGUAUCACAACUACCUGAUAUUGGAAAAGAAUUGUUAUUGUUCAAUACUACAUUUCUCACAGAUUUAGUUCUAUCAAAAGAUGAGGCAAAGAAAAAAUUGUGUACAAUUUUGUCGAUGUAUAGCAAGGUACCUCUUUGCAGUCCUGGACCUUGUAUGGUACACUUGAACCCCUAAAGAAGUGCCCUAUGGCUUCCAGAGGUGGAGUUCCAUUGUAAAUAUCGCAAGUCCUAAAAUAAAGUUACAUUCGUUAGUUGUUUUGACCACGCCGAAUUAUUUAUUAUCUUAGGUACUUACCACGAACUCUUGAGGAAGGAAAUGACGAUUGCGCAAGCGAGAAAGAUGCUCACACGCCUUGUGGUCAACCUCAUUGAACAGCACAACUACAGCUGACAUCAUGUCAUUCUGAAAUGCACCGCUGAGCUACUUCUUCAGACUAGUCCCUGUUAUAAUCAAUGGCAUUUGUCCAGGGAUGUAGAUAAAGUUC